Protopterus annectens (West African lungfish) is the source of this 309-nucleotide long non-coding RNA. RefSeq lists it as uncharacterized. Lineage: Eukaryota; Metazoa; Chordata; Ceratodontiformes; Protopteridae. The transcript is spliced from 3 exons. The record is from RefSeq and is a predicted model, not a curated record.
GCAAAAUGUAAAGCUGUACCUCAUAUAGAACUUUUGGUCUUCCUUGAAUCUUGUGUAUGAGCAUUGUUGUUAUGUAUACUUGAACCACUUCUUGAUGAUGAGAAAGCGGGGUGGAGGUACCCAGAAGUAUCAAGAAAAGACCAUUAAGAAAAGCAGUGACGAUCACCCCUUUAUGCAGAAGAGUGGCUGCUUGAAGGAUGCUCAUACAACUCCUUAAAACUUCUUUGUUCUUGUACACCACAACCGGAGGAUUUUGAAAAAGGAGUUAAAAGAUUCCAUACCCAAGAGUCAAGACAACACAGAUGGAAU